AUGGAUCUGCUCCCCGAGGACGUGGUCGGAGAAGUGCUGCGCCGCCUCCCCGGCCGUAGCCUCGCGGCUUCCCGUGGCGUGUGCAGGGCGUGGCGCGCCGUCGUCGAUGCUCUCAACCUGCUCGUGCCACACAUGCUGCCGCACUCCGUCCGCGGCAUCUUCACCAACUACCGCGGCUCGUCGCGCCCCCGCUUCUUCGGCCGUCCCCGCAGCUGCAGCCCGGGGAUCGACGCCGCGUUCGACUUCAUCACGCCCGUGCAGCACGGCCAACACGGCGUGCACAGCGUGAUCGUGGACCACUGCAACGGCGUCCUCCUCUACGACGACGACGGCUGGCACUGGAAGAACCUCUACGUCUGCAACCCCGCGACGCGGCGCUGGGCGCUCCUUCCCGCCUCCUCCGGGGGACCAUUACUACCCAGGCCUGUGCUUCGCCGGCGCCUACCUCGCCUUCGACCCCGCCGUGUCGCUGCACUAUGA
This 480-nucleotide ribosomal RNA is filed under the name Triticum aestivum (bread wheat). RNAcentral describes it as "partial small subunit ribosomal RNA". The record is from RNAcentral. Lineage: Eukaryota; Viridiplantae; Streptophyta; Magnoliopsida; Poales; Poaceae.